GCCGGUGUGAUGGAAUUGGCAGACGUAACGGAUUCAAAAUCCGUCGGGCUCACGCCCGUGCCGGUUCGAGUCCGGCCACCGGCACCA
RNAcentral lists this transfer RNA (87 nucleotides) under Clostridiaceae bacterium. Its description in RNAcentral is "tRNA-Leu". It matches the Rfam family "tRNA". Rfam says of the family: Transfer RNA (tRNA) molecules are approximately 80 nucleotides in length. Their secondary structure includes four short double-helical elements and three loops (D, anti-codon, and T loops). RNAcentral also lists the same sequence under 1 other name. The record is from RNAcentral. Lineage: Bacteria; Bacillati; Bacillota; Clostridia; Eubacteriales; Clostridiaceae.